This 74-nucleotide transfer RNA is filed under the name Thermofilum adornatum. RNAcentral's name for it is "tRNA-Arg". It matches the Rfam family "tRNA". From Rfam's summary of the family: Transfer RNA (tRNA) molecules are approximately 80 nucleotides in length. Lineage: Archaea; Thermoproteati; Thermoproteota; Thermoprotei; Thermofilales; Thermofilaceae. The record is from RNAcentral.
AUGGCCGUAGUCCAGCUGGAAGGAUGCCUGGCACGCCCAGGUGGUCCGGGGUUCAAAUCCCCGCGGCCCCACCA